AGACCCGAAACCCGGUGAUCUAGCCAUGGGCAGGUUGAAGGUUGGGUAACACUAACUGGAGGACCGAACCGACUAAUGUUGAAAAAUUAGCGGAUGACCUGUGGCUGGGGGUGAAAGGCCAAUCAAACCGGGAGAUAGCUGGUUCUCCCCGAAAGCUAUUUAGGUAGCGCCUCGUGAAUUCAUCUCCGGGGGUAGAGCACUGUUUCGGCUAGGGGGCCAUCCCGGCUUACCAACCCGAUGCAAACUGCGAAUACCGGAGAAUGUUAUCACGGGAGACACACGGCGGGUGCUAACGUCCGUCGUGAAGAGGGAAACAACCCAGACCGCCAGCUAAGGUCCCAAAGUCAUGGUUAAGUGGGAAACGAUGUGGGAAGGCCCAGACAGCCAGGAUGUUGGCUUAGAAGCAGCCAUCAUUUAAAGAAAGCGUAAUAGCUCACUGGUCGAGUCGGCCUGCGCGGAAGAUGUAACGGGGCUAAACCAUGCACCGAAGCUGCGGCAGCGACACUUU
Molecule: ribosomal RNA, 508 nt
Filed under: Salmonella enterica
Lineage: Bacteria; Pseudomonadati; Pseudomonadota; Gammaproteobacteria; Enterobacterales; Enterobacteriaceae
Also listed under: 1 other name
Description: partial 23S ribosomal RNA
Rfam family: Bacterial large subunit ribosomal RNA
Source: RNAcentral